GACGUAGGGCGCGAGCGUUGUCCGGAUUUAUUGGGCGUAAAGAGCUCGUAGGCGGCUUGUCGCGUCGGCUGUGAAAAUCCCCGUGGCUCAACUGUGGGCGGGCAGCUGAUACGGGCAGGCUGGAGUUCGGUAGGGGAGGACUGGAAAUUCCGUGGUGUAGCGGUGAAAUGCGCAGAUAAUCAGGAGGAACACCGGUGGCGAAGGCGGGUCUCUGGGCCGAUACUGACGCUGAGGAGCGGAAAGCGUGGGGAGCGAACAGG
This 260-nucleotide ribosomal RNA is filed under the name uncultured bacterium. RNAcentral describes it as "partial 16S ribosomal RNA". It matches the Rfam family "Bacterial small subunit ribosomal RNA", at positions 524 to 776 of the family's 1533-position model. The record is from RNAcentral.